GAUGAACGCUGGCGGCGUGCCUAAUACAUGCAAGUCGAGCGAACGGACGAGAAGCUUGCUUCUCUGAUGUUAGCGGCGGACGGGUGAGUAACACGUGGAUAACCUACCUAUAAGACUGGGAUAACUUCGGGAAACCGGAGCUAAUACCGGAUAAUAUUUUGAACCGCAUGGUUCAAAAGUGAAAGACGGUCUUGCUGUCACUUAUAGAUGGAUCCGCGCUGCAUUAGCUAGUUGGUAAGGUAACGGCUUACCAAGGCAACGAUGCAUAGCCGACCUGAGAGAGUGAUCGGCCACACUGGAGCUGAGACACGGACCAGACUCCUACGGGAGGCAGCAGUAGGGAAUCUUCCGCAAUGGGCGAAAGCCUGACGGAGCAACGCCGCGUGAGUGAUGAAGGUCUUCGGAUCGUAAAACUCUGUUAUUAGGGAAGAACAUAUGUGUAAGUAACUGUGCACAUCUUGACGGUACCUAAUCAGAAAGCCACGGCUAACUACGUG
RNAcentral lists this ribosomal RNA (497 nucleotides) under uncultured bacterium. RNAcentral describes it as "partial 16S ribosomal RNA". It matches the Rfam family "Bacterial small subunit ribosomal RNA", at positions 28 to 507 of the family's 1533-position model. The record is from RNAcentral.